UCAGAUGGCCGGAUAGCUGCCGCCUUGGUUCGCCAGGGGGGAGGAAAGUCCGGGCUCCACGGAGACACGGUGCCGGGUAACGCCCGGCGGGGGCGACCCCAGGGAAAGUGCCACAGAAAGCAAACCGCCUAUGGGUGUUUCGACACGAUAUAGGUAAGGGUGAAAGGGUGCGGUAAGAGCGCACCGCGUGCCUGGCAACAGGGGCGGCACGGUAAACCCCACCGGGAGCAAAACCAAAUAGGGGCGGCAUUUGUGGCGUUUCCGACGCGUCGCCCGGGUCGGUUGCAUGAGUGUAUUGGCAACAAUAUGCCUAGAUGAAUAGCUAUCACCUGUCACAUUUCGGUGCGACGGCGUACAGAACCCGGCUUACAGGCCAUCUGACCUA
RNAcentral lists this RNase P RNA (385 nucleotides) under Alphaproteobacteria bacterium. Its description in RNAcentral is "RNase P RNA component class A". It matches the Rfam family "Bacterial RNase P class A". Rfam says of the family: Ribonuclease P (RNase P) is a ubiquitous endoribonuclease, found in archaea, bacteria and eukarya as well as chloroplasts and mitochondria. Its best characterised activity is the generation of mature 5'-ends of tRNAs by cleaving the 5'-leader elements of precursor-tRNAs. The record is from RNAcentral. Lineage: Bacteria; Pseudomonadati; Pseudomonadota; Alphaproteobacteria.